ACUAUGGAUACGAGGACCCAGUUAUAAAGACAAGGGGACCCAAGGCCAAGAACCGCAUGUCACCCAUGUUGAAGGUCCCGGAAGAGGCCCGGCGUCCUGUGUGAACGAAUGAGGCGGGUGCGCUGGGCAGUUCAUCUGAUCCCACCGUGGUGUGUGAGGUGGGGAGACUGAGGCUCGGCGGCAGCACUGCCGUCCUCCUGCGGGCCUCCACCGGAGACUUCCCCCUUUCCUCGUCGCUGACUCCUGGCCUGAUAAGGAGGGUCGGCGAGGGUCGGCGAGGGUCGGCGAGGGUCGGCGAGGGUCGGCAGCCCGAGGCCUUUGCUGGAGGCGCAGCUCAAGGAGAAGCUGUCUUCGCAGACCAGUGAGGUCUCGCUUUUGGCCCCUCGUCAGCCAUGGAUGUGCAGAACCCAGCCUGGGGACACCCUGGGAGCUGGCGCUGCUCAGCAGAGAGCCUGGGACAGUGUUGGUCACGUGACGGCGUGGGCAUUAAAUGUGCAGGCUCGAGCGCCUGGCUCCCCAGAAUUCAGACCCCAGCCUCGGAUCGCACACUGGUGCAGCCGCUCUGCAAAGCAGUGCGGACGUUCCUCAAGAAGUUAAAAACAGAGCUGCCCUGCGGCCCAGCAAUUGUACUACCAGGGAUUUACCCCAAAGGUACAGAUGUAGUGACCGAAGGGGCACCUGCACCCCGGUGUUCACAGCAGCAGUGUGCACAGGGGCCAGGUUGUGGAAAGAGCCCAGAUGUCCACCGACGGCUGAUGGAUAAAGAAGAUGCGGUGCACACACAAGAGUAUUGCUCAGCCAUCAAAAACACGAAAGUCUGCCGCCUGCAACACCGUGGGUGGGACCGGGGGAUAUUAUUCUCAGUGAAAUAAGUCAAUCAGAGAAAGACAAUUGUCACAUGAUCUCACUCUCAAUCACAG
This 920-nucleotide long non-coding RNA is filed under the name Vulpes vulpes (red fox). RNAcentral describes it as "lncRNA (ENSVVUG00000029124.1)". The record is from RNAcentral. Lineage: Eukaryota; Metazoa; Chordata; Mammalia; Carnivora; Canidae.